AAAAACAUGUCUAUAUGAGAGGUAUAUAAAGUCUGACCUGCCCAUUGGGAACUAAAAGGCCGCGGUAUUAUGACCGUGCAAAGGUAGCAUAAUAAUUAGUCUUUUAAUUGAAGGCUAGAAUGAAUGGUUGGACAAGAAAUUAACUGUCUUAGGUAAAAAUAUUAAAUUUAACUUUUAAGUGAAAAGGCUUAAAUAAAUUAGAGGGACGAUAAGACCCUAUAAAACUUUAUAUAUUUAUGAACUAGUAAUUAUUUUUAUUUAUAAAAUUUUAGAUCAGAGUAUUUUAUUGGGGCGAUAAAAAUAAAAUUUAAAGUAACUGUUUUAUUUUUUAACAAUAAUAUUUGAAUUUUAGAUCCUAAAAAGGAUCAAUAGAUUAAGUUACUUUAGGGAUAACAGCGUUAUUUUUUUUAAGAGUUCAUAUCGACAAAAAAGUUUGCGACCUCGAUGUUGAAUUAAAAGUUCUUUGUGGGGCAGAAAUUACAAGAGAGGGUCUGUUCGACCUUUAAAAUUUUACGUGAUC
Molecule: ribosomal RNA, 520 nt
Filed under: Cambaroides japonicus
Lineage: Eukaryota; Metazoa; Arthropoda; Malacostraca; Decapoda; Cambaridae
Description: partial 16S ribosomal RNA
Rfam family: Bacterial large subunit ribosomal RNA
Source: RNAcentral